This 406-nucleotide ribosomal RNA is filed under the name uncultured bacterium. RNAcentral's name for it is "partial 16S ribosomal RNA". It matches the Rfam family "Bacterial small subunit ribosomal RNA", at positions 29 to 526 of the family's 1533-position model. The record is from RNAcentral.
AUUGAACGCUGGCGGCAGGCCUAACACAUGCAAGUCGAGCGAGCGGCGGACGGGUGAGUAAUGUCUGGGAAACUGCCUGAUGGAGGGGGAUAACUACUGGAAACGGUAGCUAAUACCGCAUACCAUCAGAUGUGCCCCGGGGGGAUUAGCUAGUAGGGGGGGUAACGGCUCACCUAGGCGACGCUCCCUAGCGGGUCUGAGAGGAUGACCAGCAACACGGGAACUGAGACAAGGUACAGACGCCUACGGGAGGCAGCAGUGGGGAAUAUUGCACAAUGGGCGCAAGGCUGAUGCAGCCAUGCCGCGGGUGUGAAGAAGGCCGUCGGGUUGUAAAGCACUUUCAGCGGGGAGGCGUUACCCGCAGAAGAAGCACCGGCUAACUCCGUGCCAGCAGCCGCGGUAAUAC